GAUUAUGGCUCAGGAUGAACGCUGGCGGCGUGCUUAACACAUGCAAGUCGAACGGAGUUUUUAAACGGAAGUUUUCGGAUGGAAGUUUAGAAACUUAGUGGCGGACGGGUGAGUAACGCGUGGGUAACCUGCCUCAUACAGGGGGAUAACAGUUAGAAAUGACUGCUAACACCACAUAAUAUAGCGAAACCGCAUGAUUUUGCUAUCAAAUAUUUAUAGGUAUGAGAUGGGCCCGCGUCUGAUUAGCUAGUUGGUGGGGUAAAGGCCUACCAAGGCGACGAUCAGUAGCCGGCUUGAGAGAGUGACCGGCCACAUUGGGACUGAGACACGGCCCAAACUCCUACGGGAGGCAGCAGUGGGGAAUAUUGGACAAUGGGGGAAACCCUGAUCCAGCGAACCGCCGCGUGAGUGAAGAAGUAUUUCGGUAUGUAAAGCUCUAUCAGCAGGGAAGAUAAUGACAGUACCUGACUAAGAAGCCCCGGCUAACUACGUGCCAGCAGCCGC
This 504-nucleotide ribosomal RNA is filed under the name uncultured bacterium. RNAcentral's name for it is "bacterial SSU rRNA". It matches the Rfam family "Bacterial small subunit ribosomal RNA", at positions 15 to 518 of the family's 1533-position model. The record is from RNAcentral.